AGCUCUUCAUCUUUGGCCUGAAGUUCUUCCUCCUGGCGAGUCACUUGUAGAAGCGGCUUCACCUAUGACAAAGGACACCGUUACAGCGAAGCUGAUCUAGGACUAGGUGUGGAUCCAAUUUUCCAGCCUAAUCAAGCAAACCCUCUUCUCGUGAUUUGGAAUGAUACAACGAACAAAGUUAGGGUUGGUGUUUCGGAGAGUUGCCAUCAGCUUGGUGAGAGAUUCUUUGUAGAGUUGCCCAACGGUACGAAACAUGCCCUUCUUGGUUUUAUAUGCGGAGCCAAAAGCUGUCUCAGUCAUACCAGUGACUUGAUCCAGACCCACGAUACGGUCCACUGGGGAGA
This 344-nucleotide long non-coding RNA is filed under the name Homo sapiens (human). Its description in RNAcentral is "HSALNT0236932". Lineage: Eukaryota; Metazoa; Chordata; Mammalia; Primates; Hominidae. The record is from RNAcentral.